Molecule: ribosomal RNA, 253 nt
Filed under: uncultured bacterium
Lineage: Bacteria
Description: partial 16S ribosomal RNA
Rfam family: Bacterial small subunit ribosomal RNA
Source: RNAcentral
UACGGAGGGAGCUAGCGUUGUUCGGAAUUACUGGGCGUAAAGCGCACGUAGGCGGAUACUUAAGUUAGGGGUGAAAUCCCAGGGCUCAACCCUGGAACUGCCUUUAAUACUGGGUAUCUCGAGUCCGAGAGAGGUGAGUGGAAUUCCGAGUGUAGAGGUGAAAUUCGUAGAUAUUCGGAGGAACACCAGUGGCGAAGGCGGCUCACUGGCUCGGUACUGACGCUGAGGUGCGAAAGCGUGGGGAGCAAACAGG